This 376-nucleotide RNase P RNA is filed under the name Nocardioides faecalis. RNAcentral describes it as "Bacterial RNase P class A". It matches the Rfam family "Bacterial RNase P class A". Rfam says of the family: Ribonuclease P (RNase P) is a ubiquitous endoribonuclease, found in archaea, bacteria and eukarya as well as chloroplasts and mitochondria. Its best characterised activity is the generation of mature 5'-ends of tRNAs by cleaving the 5'-leader elements of precursor-tRNAs. The record is from Rfam by way of RNAcentral. Lineage: Bacteria; Bacillati; Actinomycetota; Actinomycetes; Propionibacteriales; Nocardioidaceae.
CGGGCUGGCCGGGCGACCGCGUGACCUCCGCCGCGAGGCGACAGGUCCCGAGGAAAGUCCGGGCUCCACAGAGCAGGGUGGUGGGUAACACCCACCCGGGGUGACCCGCGGGAAAGUGCCACAGAGAACAGACCGCCGCCGCUCCUCGGAGCGGAGGCAAGGGUGAAACGGUGGGGCAAGAGCCCACCAGUGUGCCGGGUGACCGGCGCAGCUAGGCAAACCCCACCCGGAGCAAGACCAGACAGCGCACGAUCGGCUCCGGCCGGGAGGGCUGCUCGCCCGAGUGCGCGGGUAGGUCGCUGGAGGCUGUCGGCAACGGCAGUCCUAGAUGGAUGGUCGCCAACUACAGAACCCGGCUUACAGGCCAGCCCGUCCC